Molecule: ribosomal RNA, 374 nt
Filed under: uncultured organism
Description: bacterial SSU rRNA
Rfam family: Bacterial small subunit ribosomal RNA
Source: RNAcentral
CGGGGGGAGCAAGCGUUGUUCGGAUUUACUGGGCGUAAAGGGCGCGUAGGCGGCCACCGCAAGUCGACUGUGAAAUCUCCGGGCUUAACCCGGAACGGUCAGCCGAUACUGCGGGGCUAGAGUGCAGAAGGGGCAACUGGAAUUCUCGGUGUAGCGGUGAAAUGCGUAGAUAUCGAGAGGAACACCUGCGGCGAAGGCGGGUUGCUGGGCUGACACUGACGCUGAUGCGCGAAAGCUAGGGGAGCGAACGGGAUUAGAUACCCCGGUAGUCCUAGCCUUAAACGAUGAAUGCUUGGUGUCUGGGGUUCUAUAGUCCCCGGGUGCCGUCGCUAACGCUUUAGGCAUUCCGCCUGGGGAGUACGGUCGCAAGACUG